GCGACGAAGAAGUGGAGAACACUCCAGAACUCAUCCAAUAACUAGUACUACUCUCAGACCCGUUAGCUAAAUCACCAUCAAAGUACUCUUGCUUCUUAAUCAGAUUGUUCCCAAUAUGCGAAAUUACACAAGCACUUGAUCAUUAAUAAAACUUGCAAAGAGAAGUUUAUCCUUUCUCUUUGUGCAUGUCAAACCCAUAAGGGAUAUGUUCAGCCUAUCUCUAUGUCAGAGCUCAAUGAUUCAAAACUGGAGAUUUUUGUCUAUUAUUUGUCAGGCUAAAAAAAAAAAAAAAGCAUAGGACUAACCCCUAGAUAAGAAAUCUAGUAACAAGAAACUCUAAAAUGAUGGCUUAGAAACUCCCAAUCCUCCUCUGCAUAUUUGCCACUAGUAUGUCAUAAAUCAGAUAGAGCAUGGAGGUGAUGCUUUUGAAUAUCCUUUAUUUAUUUUUAACUAUUUUAGUUCUCUCUCACGCUCAACUUAGCGAAUUUAUAUUUUUAAUGUUUUAUUGGUUGCGUAUGAUGUCUUGAAUUUUUUUACAAGCCUAGGAGCCCUGGGAAACUAUCCUGGUUCUCCCUUUUUGCCUUCUGAUUAAGAUAUUUUACUUGAUUCACCUGAGCAAGAGGAUAUAGCCAUGUAAGCAAAGAAGGCUUUAUCUGGGAGAGUUAAAUCAAGUCAUGGCGCACAAAGAAAAAAGAAAAGUAAAAUACUGUCACCUUUGAGAAGGGCAGAACGUGAGAUAAGCUUGUAUUUCUAAGUUUUUGCUUAAAUGAUGUUUGAGAUUCGUGUUAUACUUUUAGAUCCUUCAUGCUCUGGAUCGGGGACUGCUACAGAGAGACUGGAUCAUCUCUUCCCAUCUUAUAGCACAGGUAAGUAUUAGUCUCUUUGUCUUUUGAGGUUCACAUCUUCAUCUUUCUGAUCUCAUUCCUUUUAACCUCUUACUCUUCUAUUUCCGAUUAAGUUGUUGCUGGCUUCCACUCAUUUAUUUGUU
Long non-coding RNA from Cornus florida, 988 nucleotides. RefSeq lists it as uncharacterized. The transcript is spliced from 4 exons. The record is from RefSeq and is a predicted model, not a curated record. NCBI's taxonomy places the organism in Eukaryota, Viridiplantae, Streptophyta, Magnoliopsida, Cornales, Cornaceae.